This is a long non-coding RNA of Prunus persica (peach), 1035 nucleotides long. RefSeq lists it as uncharacterized. The record is from RefSeq and is a predicted model, not a curated record. The transcript has 3 exons. Lineage: Eukaryota; Viridiplantae; Streptophyta; Magnoliopsida; Rosales; Rosaceae.
GGUGGAGAUGCUCUUAGUCUUGAUUUGAUUUUGAUUUUUAAUUCUUUUCCCUUCUCCUCAAGUUUGAUUGCAUUGCAUUGAUGUCUCUCUUUAUCUUUAAAACAGGGCCUUGCGGUUUAAUUUGAUUAUGCUAACACUAAUUCAUUCAUCCAUUCAUGCCCUCCGUCUUCUUCCACACAAUGAAUUCCUCCACCUUUGUUGAAGUUUAUCUCUUUUCUUUUGUCAGAAGAAGCAGGGGAAGACUUCCCUAUCUUAGAGUAUCUACAAGAUAUUUAUUAUUAUUUUUCUUUUUCAAUUUUUCGAUUUAAUUAGUUUAACUCCUCCUUUGUAUGCAUCUAAGUGUGUUUUAAAGGAUUUGCUGCGUACUGUGUCGUUGGCAAACAGAUAUCUAUUGCAUUUUUACAAAGGAUGAAAGCUGACUUUAGAAAAAGAUAUGGGGUGGGUCAUUUGCUGGAGGAAAAAGCAGCGCAGUAGAGACUCAAAACAGAGAGAAGGGUGGGGAAGCAUCAGGAAUAAGGAAUAAGAAAAGAAAAGAAAAGAAAAGCACACGUUAGACUUGGAGUUCUAUUUCCACAUAACUGCUGCUAUUUCUUCGUAACUGUAGCAGUUCCAAAUGUCAACUGCAUAAUCAAAACUUCUUCGCCAAUUUUCACAAAUGAGUUCUUCAUUAUAUUUUUUAUCUUCCGUUUUUUUCUGUUCUUUAUAGUUGUUUCGAUUUCUUCUCCUAUUUUGUUCUAACUUAUGGGAGUUGGGGGUCCAGAAUUCCCCCUUUGGCAGAGCAUCAGGUAAGACUUUGGCGUUUGAGGUAUACAAGCUAUUAGCUGAAUGAAACACUUUGGCCUUUGGUUUCUUUCACUUUGUGGUUGCUGGAGGAGCCGACUCUUGGUGGAUAUGUUUCUCUUUCAGUCUCCUUGAUGUCGAACUAGACCCUUUGUGUGGGACAAAUGAAGAAGAGUUGAAGAAAGUAGACAUUGUUUAAAGGCUUUUGGCAUCGGAAGAGACUGAUCCAAAGUACUUGCGAGACAUGGUCCUCAG